Molecule: RNA transcript, 7949 nt
Organism: Triticum aestivum (bread wheat)
Lineage: Eukaryota; Viridiplantae; Streptophyta; Magnoliopsida; Poales; Poaceae
Exons: 6
Source: RefSeq, a predicted model, not a curated record
UCGAAUGGUAAGAGAGUCUAGCAGGUAAGUACAGAAGAUGCCAAGGCGAAACAAGUGGCUGUGCCACUCCUCUGCCACUAGAUUGUUGGCCCGGCCGGAGCUCCGGCAAAAGGAAUGGCCUUGCUGCACCCCGCCCCUGCUACUCCCCUCCCCACCGGCCAUCACCGCCAGAACGCCGGCGUGCUCCUCCAGCGGCCAUCCCGCCGCCGUUUCCGGCUGAACGCGCAGAAAAAGCCCGGGUCCACGUCCACGAGCGAGCCCGCGCACCGGCACGCCCUCCGGCUCGGAGUCGGACAACGUGGUGCUCAAGGCCGCCUGGUACGGCUCCGAGGCCCUCGGCAUCGCCGCGUCCUUCUUCCGGCCGCCGUCUCCGGAGGCGGACGCCGGCGCUGCAGGCGACGGCGCGUCAGAGUCCCAGCCGGUUGGCCGCGCGCAGGUCGCCGAGGCCAUCAAGGACGACUUCGCACGGUCAUACUUCGUCACAGGGAACCUGACGCUGGGAGCGUACGAAGACGACUGCGAGUUCGCCGACCCGGCGGGCUCAUUCAGAGGCCUGCAGCGCUUCAAGAGGAACUGCACCAACUUCGGGUCCCUGCUGGAGAAGUCCAACAUGAAGCUAACCAAAUGGGAGGAUGUCGAGGAGAAAUCGAUCGGGCACUGGCGUUUCAGCUGCGUCAUGUCGUUCCCGUGGAGGCCCAUUCUCUCCGCAACCGGGUACACGGAGUACUACUUCGAUGGUGAGUCGGGGAAGGUGUGCAGGCAUGUGGAGAACUGGAACGUCCCCAAGAUGGCGCUCCUGCGGCAGAUAUUCAGGCCCAGCAGAUGGGCAUGGGAGAAGGAGAAACGUGGCAGCAUUAUGAAAGAAGGAAGUGUUCCGGUCACCAUGCAUCAGCCAAUUAGCACGCCCUCUUUGAAGCCAAUGGAUCUCCUCCUGUUCCAAUAAGUUGUCAAUAAGCAGUUGUAAUUCCUUUUGUCUCGCCCAAGAAGCCGGCGAUAAGGCACCAUAUCUUAUUUUUUCUAGUUCUUUACUCAACUUCUUGAUACGAUUUUUCGGACCCUUCAGAACAGAUUUAUCCCAACUAUGGAGAUCACUGUGUACCGCUUUGGUUCUUGAAGCCAUGCUUGGACCCAAGCCUCUCAGGUUUGCCUUCGCCCAGGCAGUAGCAACCACUUCGUUUACAGUAUCUUCAGAUAACCACCUAGCUUCAAAUUUUUUCCCCCCGAAACGAUGUCUAAUCUGGCCUGUCUUAUAAUAUUCCGUGUCAACCAAAAUAGGCCUAUGGUCAGACCUGUAGUGCUUCUCAAGGAUGACUGCAGCAUUGGGAUAAUCUAAAGUCCAUUGACUAUUACACACAGCACGAUCCAGUCGUUCACGAACAUCAGCGCGUCUCCAGGUGUAUUUAUCCCCAAUAUAGUCCAUAUCCUGAAGCUCGCAGUCAUCUAAACAGUCUCUAAAAGCCUUAAGCAUAUGCACUGGGCGGGGGUUUCCUCCCUCUUUUUCUGAAUUCAGCUUAAUCUCAUUGAAAUCACCUAGUACUAUCCAGGGCAUCUGAUGCUGCCGGUGAAGGUCUCUUAAACAAGACCAAGACAAGUGGCGGUCCUCCCAAGCUAGCUCACCAUAGAAACCAGUUAGCCUCCACUUCACAUUAUCACUAGACACAAAAACCAUAUCUAUACAGUUGGGUGACACAUAUUCAAACUCAACUUUAUUAUCAUCAUUCCAGAACAUUACAAGACCCCUAUUACAAGACCCCUGGAACGACCAUCACUACUUUCAUGAACUAAUAAAAAUUGAAAACCUAAUUUAUAGCGGAGACUCUCCGCUUUAUUCUUAUCGAGAUGUGCCUCAGCCAAAAACAAGAUAUUUGGCCUAACCUGCUCUUGGAGAUCCAAGAGCGACCGAACUGCCGCCUAAGAGUUCAUCCCACGGCAGUUCCAACCGACGAUUUUCAUUGUUCCCGGACAGGCUCCAGCGCAGAGCCCGCCGAUCCUAGAUCCACCAAGGUGCCCUCAGCAGAAAUAAUCCUGCUUUGUCCUUCCCCAGCGCCUUUCUCCUCCCCAACAGAUUCACGUCUUUUCUCUAUGUACUCCUCUUCCCCAUCCUCCACCUCUUCUGUGACAUGCUUGACCAAACCAUCUACACCUAUUACAGUUUCAACCCGUUCCAUAUACACACGCUUGCAGGAGAUACUAAUCUCAUCAUUAGUGUACCCCAUACUUUCAGCACUAUUGUUUUCAAAAGAGAAGACCAAAUCGCUUCCUGUAGGCACCAACCCUUCCCCAACCCUUCUCUUUCUCCCUGAAUCGCGAUCGCGUUCCUGCAUAGCAGAUGCUCCUUUGGGACUGGGCAUUUCUCCACUAAUGGUCUGAUUAGCAUGAGCAUUUAAGAAAAAAAUUGUUACUCCAAUGCUUCUCACUGCUUCAAACACUUCCCUUUCUUCUCUGUGCAUCCUCUUCCAACGGCUCGAUGAAGAUUCGUAGUGGCGUGACGGCUUGACAGAGAUGUACUUGUAGCUUGCUGGAGCUCCAGCAGCCCCAAGCAGAAGGCGAGCCUUGCCCACCUGGCCAGGCCUAGCACCAAAGAUGAGUGAGCCGACGUGCUGGGCUGCUGAAAGGCCAACAACAGUGGCACUUCCCGGGGCUGCUAUAGCCACGGGAGUGACAAUAUCAGCCGCCCUCACCAGAUUAGCUCUACCCACAUGAGUGGCCUCUCCUGCCGUGGGAAUGACAGCAUCAGCCAUCCCCACAAGCACGCCAGCAGCUUCAGUAUGCCCACGGCCCUCCUGGCCAGGCGAGUUGUCCGCAGCCUGUCCCCUCACCGCGGGAUUCCUAGCAGAAGGGACGAUUCACGAUUGCCCCCGCAACGUACUGUUCAACAGGAGCAGAGUUCAUGCCCGACGUCUCCCGGCCAGCCGCAGUGUUAGAGGUCUCUCCCACUGGAGAAACCAUAAGCUGCUUGACGGCCGUAGUCACCACAUUGAUGACCACAUCCGGGACCUUGGCUUGGAGCUUCUCAGUCUCUUCUUCUUUCUCCAACUCCCCAGGUGCCAACAUUCCUUCAAACUCCAAAGAACGGCGCACCGGACCCAAAGACUGCGCUGAACUAUUGAGGCUUCUCUCUUUCCAGAUUGGGAGGGCCUUGAUGUCGGAGGAGAAGACCGCUGUACGCUGCUCCUUAGGAAUGCUGCAAAACUUCUCUGUGGUAUGACCCAGCAGUCCACAACAAAAACAGAAGUUUGGGAGUUUUUCAUAUUUUACGAAGUACUUCAGAACAUUGGAAGUUCCAGUUGGGGUGGCAGUGAUGUAUGACUUGAUGGGACGAUGUACCGGCAUGUCAACACGCACGCGGAGGUGCUUAUCAACGAUCAGCUUGUUCUUAUGGGCGACGGCGAUGACGGUAACCAGCUUCUUUCCCAACUCCCUGCCCAUCUCCUCCGACUUGAGUUCGUACGGGAGCCCCUGAAUCUGCGCCCACACUCGGAUGGAGUCGAGACGGACAUCACUUGCAUUGCCUGUACCGUCGAAAGGCGCGAAGAUGACUCCGUCAUUGUGGUAGUGCCACGGCCCAGCCCUAAGCACAUGGAGCCUAUCACCCUCCCGCGCAAAGUGUAGGAUGAACCUGCCGUCUCCGCUUACUACCCGCUGGACCGUCACCUCGCCACGGAUCCGCCAUGGUCCCCUGAGAUCACGGACGAUGGCGUCGGGGUCAGCAGGGUACGACGAGAGGAGUCGUCCGAUGAGCAGCCUCCCCGCAGUGGAGCGCCGGGCUGCCGCGAAGUCGAUGAUGACUGGGGCAUCUUCCUCAUCCGGGGACGCGAAAGCAACCGCCUUACCGGCUCGCUGCAGAGGCGGAGUAGCCCCUGGAGCGAUGAAGCCGAUUGUGGCUUCCGGGGUGGUCAACACAGGACGAGCUCCACCUUCGCGCUUGCAGGGCGUCCUGGAGCCCGAGGCAUCCUUCCCCAGGGACGGGGGCACACUCCAGCCCCCCCUGAUUGACAAGGUCCAUGCCCAUAGCUGCACCUGCCUCCUGACUCUCCAGCACUCCUGCACCAUCGGACACCAUACUGGUUGCUGGCGUCAGACGCAUGAUCGGUGUAGUUUCCCCACUUGGCCCUUCUUCUCGAACAGUCAAACCAGGGGUGUCCUGGAUGGGCUCAUCAUGGCUCGACAUGGAAUUCUAGAUUUUUGUUAGAGGGGAAAACACCCAGACAGACGAAAGGGGCGAAGUCGAACAGAGACGAAGAACAGGGCUUCUAGACUGGCCACUCAAAUACUCCCCCCGCCCCCAAAUUCCGCCUCAUAAUCCACACGAAUAAUUCCCAAAUCGGAUGUAAUACACGCAUAAUCACCGGUGAGAAACCUCCCAUUGAACUUUCGAAUUGACUCACCCGUAAGAAUUCCUUUCCGUUUUACUCCAUUAAUCUCCAGAUUUGGUGGGAGAGCAUUGGGAGCCAACGGAAUCAGCAGCUCCUCCACCGAUGGACUCUCCUUAAUCUUUUUCUCAGCAUCCUUAAAGGACUUGGAUCCACCUCCCAAGAACUCCGCCGCCCGCUCCCUCAGUCGCCUCAGACAGGCCUCCAGGUCCUUCGCGCGACGGAGGAGCUCGACCCCGCGCCGCUUGAUGGUGCGCCACUCCUGGGGGGAGAGGCCACCGCCUUCCGACCACCGCCCAUGGUCAGCCCCACGGGCCACCUUGGCCGGCGUCAUAGCCAUCCUUCAGCGCCGGCAGCGCCGGCGUAUCGCCCUGGCAAUCGCCAGAUCCCCUUUUUACGGGAGCCCUCUCUCCCCGCUUCAGUGGGUACCGCCUGCCGUUUGAGAGUGCUCCUAAGGGGCGUGCUUCCUUUGUUGUUCGCUUGGUGCCACAGCGCCCAGGUUGUAAGCUAUAGCGUGCACUCUGUGAGCACAUGGAAGUUUUUCCGGACCACAUAGAAGUGUAAUUUGUUCGACUCCCGUAUGAUCAAAACUCAAAAGGGGUCUAUCAGCAAAUCGCUUCGACUCUAUAGACCACAUCGUACCAGGCCAGGAUUUUAAUUUUAAAAUCCAGACUCCUUCAUCAUCGUGUUUAUUUUUAGUUCAAAUUGAUUCUUCUGGAAACCUAGUGGAAUUCCGGAAACUUCUUGACCUCGACCGAAUCGUGCCAUAAAUUGGCCCGGCCCAUUGUUCUAAAUAGAGCGGUCCGGCCCAUAUUGGACAGUCGCGGCCUCUUAGGGUUUCCUCGCCGCACGCCUUUAUAAACACGAGAUCGGGCGAGGGUUGCAGAGCAGGCACAACUGGCGGCGUCGGCCGUCGACUGCAUCCAGUAGCCGCCACCUCUCCUCGGCUCCCAGUGCCAAUCGGGUCCGCGGUGUUGGUUCUUCGCUAUUGUCAGUCUACGACGUGUUUGGUUUGAUUGUUUCUGUAGAUUUUCUCGUUUUUUGCACUGUCGCCAUGGCGCAUGUAUCAAAGGAUGAGCAAAUACUGCAACAAUAUGAUCCAUGAUCUGAUUCUUAGUAUUUAAGUCUCUGAUGAUCUCUCUGCCAAUGCGAGUUUUCAAUCUUGUUUUUCGUUUCUUUAUAAGUGGGAUGUGAUGAAGAAAAGUUGGUCCGUGUUUCUGAUUUACAGUGACUGAUUACCAUCCUUAAUAGACUUCUGAUCCCUCUUUUUGUCUUUAGAUCUGCUAUCUUUUUCCCAUUUUAUUUCGAAGAUCCAUGUCAAUGCGAUGAUGAAUUAUGAAUUUUCGCAUGUCAGACUUCAGAGACGCCUCUGGCGUCCAUGAGAUGACAUAUCAUAUGACUGAGCAAUGAAAUACAAUCUUUAAAUUUUUUCGGAAUAAACAAACACAGUAUGCGCUGUUUUAUGCACAUCGAAUGAACUUCUCAGAAAAUUAAUGGAUGUGAGGACCCUUUCCCCGAAUGAUCGACUAUGAUUAUACUGUGCGCAACUGUAAUCCUUAUCAGAGGAUUCCAAGCCAGAAGUCUGAUCCAUCUUGCUUAAUUUAUUUAUUUAACUUUCAGAUUUGUAUUUGUUUUAUUUAUCAUAAGUUGAAUGGACAUGAGGAUCCUUUCCCCAAAUGAUCGACUAUGGUUAUACUAUGCGCAUAUGUAAUCCUUAUCAGAGGGUUCCAAGCCAGAAGUCUGAUCCAUUAAUUUCUUCUAUGUUUGUCUUCAUUGUGCAUUUUGUCAUUGUCUGCUCUCGACAGGGUGUUCGUUCUUGUGCUCUGAAAUUGCAAUGAGUGAACGCAAUGUGCUAGUUCAUUGAGCAUCUGCUAGAUUAUAAUGAUUUGUGAUUUUAUACUAUUAUUGUUAAUUCAUGGGUUUAAUGGUGCCAUGCCAUGUGCCUGAUUUACUUUUAUGUGUGCCUGUAUGUUGCACUUGCAGGAUAAGUGUGUAUCGGUUAAAUGCCUUUUGCUGUGCAUUUUUUGCCGAAAGUUUUUCCUGCUAUAUUAAUUUGAGGAAAGUGGGCAGUUGGGCUGAGCUUGAUAAUCUCUUUUGCCAACAAUCAUUUUCCUCUCAUUAUUCUUCAAAUGCAACUUGUUGUUAACAUCUUUCAGGACUGAUCUAAUAAUUGUUCAUGCUUGGCCAGUGAUGAAAAAACUUUUAAUCAUACCAUCUUUCGGGACUGAUUGGGCGCUAUGCGUCCAUGCUGUCAUUCUGCAAUUCUGAGGCCAAAUUGAACAUCUUUUUGAGUAGUAUUUUUCAAUCAGUAUUAUUUUUUUCCUUCUCAUGAAUGAAGAUAAGCACUGGGUUCUGAGUAGCUUACAUUGCUGCAUUCUUAUGGAGAUGCAUUUGCCUAAAAAGCAGUCUGAUAGCUCACCAAUCCAUAACCAUUUAAUGUUAGUACUAGUACAUAUUGAAACAUGUUAAUCUAGGCUGCAUUGUACCAAGGCUAGGGUUCUUUGUGCCCUUGUUUUGCUUGCCAGAUUCGGCUGUAGUCAAACCAACAUGGAAGGAAAUCUGGUCGGCCUGCCUGCUCCAGUGGGCAACCCGCUUACCAACCUUCCUAUAUGUCUUAUCUUCAUAUCGCUGGUCUUGGUAUUUUUGCAUAGUUAGAUUGGUGUAAUUCCGUGUGUUGCAAUUGAAAGAGCCUUCUUUUCAUGCCAUGUUGACCCAGUUUCAUGGCAGUCCUAUGGCCGCGAGCGACCCUGCACCGAUUACCCCUGAGCAAGACGGCCGGCCUUGAAUCUCGCCGUCUUGCCGCCGCUUGCCUUCUCGCCGGGCAGCCGUGGUUCCAGCAAAAAACGUCGAUCCUGCUCGAGGAUGUGUGCCUGAACAACGCUACUCGGCUGGUCGUUUGAUUACAAAUGUUUCCUAUAUUUAAAUGGCUAUUUGUAAAGUGGAAUAUCUCUGCUGAAGGAAGUAACUUCAAAAUGAUGCACUUUAGAUAUUUUGGACAUGAACACAUACUUUUAACCAGCGUUUUUUUAAUUAAACAAUUAUAUUAGAAAAGAGCACGAUGAAUAUGCCUGACACCACUCAGCCAACAAAGGAUCGACAUCAGAAGUUCGUCAAAUAAACAGAUGACGAACUAGCAAUGCCUUGGCCAGUUCAGGUGUGAGGGCUCCUGGGAGAAGUUCACUACCAUGCACGUUCUUUUCAUUCUUUCAUUCGAGCAUAUGUGGUUGGACUUCACAAAUUUGACCCCUCGGACGAACACAGACAAUAGGGCCAACUAUUGAUCUUUCUUCCCCUCAUCCCUUGAUAAAUAGUUUGGAUUGGAUAAACAAUCCUACUUUCAUUGACUGGGUUAUCUGAGAUCGAUCCUCAUUAUUUUAAAACGAGGAUAGGUCUUUCGCAACAUGAGGUGCAAAUAGGGAUUAUAAAUGUGGUCGUGUAUGUAUGUUUUCAGAUGUUUCUGGUUGUAAUAUCAGUGAAGACAAUGCUCGGGUGUAUCAACUUUUUAUUUUGUUCUUUGACAGGCAAAGUUUAGCAACCCAGAAGGAACAUAGGGACAAUAAACAUGGAUUGGUUUUA